GUUUUGUUCUCUCUCCGCAUUCGUCACUAAUCACGUAACGCCAACGUAAUGACCCUGUCAGCCAGAACUGCUUUUGCGUAUGACAGACACCGGAAGUGAGAGAAAAGUGUUUAUUACCUUUGAAAUAUCCAUAAAAUAUGGAUAUUUUUCUUACAAAAAUGCAUGUAUUCACCCCCUGGAGCGGUGUGAGGCACGUUUUAUUAUAAAUGCGCUCGCUUUAUUUGAUGACUUGUGGAAUGUUCAACUGCAACACCUGCUGACUGUAAUGAUAGAGCUUGGAAUAGCCAGGACAAUUUUUUAUAUAACUCCGACUGGAUUCAUCUGAAAGAAGAAAGUCAUAUACACCUAGGAUGCUUCGAUGAACUGGAGCAGUCUUUCACAGUCGAUGGGACUCUUCUGAACCUCUACAGUCCAGAGCUGGAGCAAACGGCCCUGUGUUUGAUGGUUAAAUUUAGCACCGUGUCAGAGACGACCGUUUAACUGAUGACAAGUGAUUAACAACCUGUACAUUACAGUCAAGAACUCAUUAUGAACUCAACUAGAUCUCCAUUAUUUCACACAGAAUCAAACGCACAGGCACCUCUGAGCUAAUUAAACACCUCUAACCCUAAAUAUGAACACCUCAGGAGCCACAUAGCAACACACUAACAACCACUCAGAACACC
This is a long non-coding RNA of Cyprinus carpio carpio, 665 nucleotides long. The record is from Ensembl. NCBI's taxonomy places the organism in Eukaryota, Metazoa, Chordata, Actinopteri, Cypriniformes, Cyprinidae.